GGAUGAAGCCCUGAGCUGAGCAACCUGGUCACAGCUGACCCUGCUUUGAGCAGGGGGUUGGGAUGGAGACUUCCUGAGCACCCUUCCUGCCUGAAUUGUCCCAUGAACCCUCUGGAAACCUAUAAUUGGGAAGUUAUUCCCCUGUGUGCUGCUGUGUUUUGGUACUUCUGCUUUUCCAGCAGCCUGGCUACAGCUAAGCCCUCCAGCCCCCAUGGCUCAGGAGCCGAUUCUUGCCUACUCAGGGACUUGUCUCUUGAAUUUUGUGCUCAUUUUCAUGUGGUGCUUAAGCUUGAGAGUGCCCACAAGGCCUGGGACCGGUGCAGGAGCAGCCGGUGCUUGGCCAGGAGACUGCAGACCUGGGACCUGCCUCCCCUCCGGGACCAGCCAGGGCUUUGCUUUCAGAGCUCAGAAGGAGACCACGCGCUUCUCUAGACAACUUGGAUUUCACUUGAAAUCUGUCUGGCAGGACCUGGCUUCCAGCCCGCUUGGAACCGUGGCCCAUGGAGAUUAAUGACAUGGAAAAUGAGGAACGCUGACCGUAAAACUCUGAAAUUGUGGGAAAAGACAGCUUAGAGCCAGCCUUUGGUGAGGAGGUGUGUGACUUGUUCUGGGAUGGUGUUUGGAGAGGCAAAGGCUCCUGCUGCUCUUGCAGGGGAACAGCCUCAUAUUUAACAAGAACGUCUUGAAAAAAAGUCUGUCUCUCCGCUCACAAAGGAGCUGGAGUGUCUCAAGUACAGCAAGUCCUUUCCUUCCCCUCCCAGAGGGUGUGAUCCAGGUUUCCGCGGUCAAGAAUGUGUUCCUGAAAAUACAGGACAGCAUGGGCUGGGGCAGGGAAUCAGCCAGAAGCUCCAGUCUCCGAUUUCACCUCCCGACGUGGAGAGGGCACGUCCCUGCCCUGUGCCCCAGCUUUCCUGCCCAGUAAAUCAGCAGCUUCCUCGUGUUUUGGGGAGCCGUGAUAACUGGUGUGCAGCGGGUGCAAGCCAUCCUUGCCGCUUCCCGAGGGUUUUCCUGCAGUGCCAAAGCACUGGGGAUGUGCUGCUGCUUUUGGGGACACUGAACAAUCCCUCAGGCUCCAGUCUGGAGUGUCUUGGUUGUGUGUUUGUGGCCGGACUGGUGAUGGGAUGAUGGUGUUCACUCUGCUCAGGCUGGCAGGGUGGAUUUUUGGGGGUCGCAAGCAGCAGGAGGAACAGGGAAUGGGGAUGCAGGUGGUGGCUGUUUCCCCUGGGUGGGAUGUCCCUCUGGACUGGCUCUGCUGGAUCGCUAAGUAAAAGGCAGAUGAAAUGCAGAUUCAAAAGCCUACUUGUGUCCAGAUGACAGGCUUUCAUCUGGGAAGGUCCUCUGAGCAAAGUGCAUCUCUCCACCAGGCAGGUGUAAUUCACUUGGAAACACAUCUUGGGUUUCUGGUCCCCAAAAAGGUAGGCACAGAGAUGCUGUGGGGGGUGGAUGGUGUGGAUAUGGACUGGAGGGGAAAGGUGAUUUCCACCUGUCAGGUCAUGCACUUUGUGCCCAAGGGUUUUUGUGAUUGUUUCCUGCCUGGCGGAGCUCUGUCCUCAGAGCCUCUCUCUCUGUUUCCUUCCCCAAAUCCCAAUGGAGCAAUAUAAGCUCUUUUCUCCCCAUUCUGAUGCAAGAGCAGUCAAUGGAGGCAGUGGUGGAGGGCACACCCAGAGGUGGCACAGAGCAAAGGAUUUUCCUUUUUCCUGCUGCAAUUUCCUCUCUCGGAGUUGUCUGUCUCUGGAGCAGAGGUGUUUGGCCAUCCCUUCUGCGGACCCUUCCCAGCAGCCUGUCUCGAGCAGGACCAGUGGCUGCAGGCACUGGAUAAAUCAGCAGAGCAGAGGCUCAGAGAGCAAGUGAUUUAGGAGGCUGGGGCAUGUCCCCUUCUGGUCGUGACCCUGUGAAAGCAGGACGGGGAGAGGGAGAGGGCUGUUUGAAGUCCCAGCCAGCCGCCUUUCCUUUUCAGCCCGUUCAGCUGAGCUCGAUUGAAUUAACAUCCCCUGGGUGGAAACAGGGUGAGGGCAGACUUCUGCCUCGUGGGUGAGCCUGUGGUGCCCGUGGCACAGAGAGGCCAGCUGCGGGAGCAUCCCCACCCUUUGCAAACCGCCCUGGAGGGGCUGGGUGGGUGGUUUGCUCCUUUGAUUAUUUCCCCUAACCCAGCCCAAGCAAACAGUGAAGAAACCAGGGAGAAGGGAAGGUGAGGAUGAAUGGGCCCUCAGAUGGGGAAAGGUGGAAAUCACCUGGAAAGAAGAAAGAAGUGUGUGUGUGUGUAUAUAUAUUUAUAUACAUAAAUUUAUACAAAAACCUGACCCAGGCCUGAACUUUUCUGGCAGGGAAGCAAAAUUCAUGAGGAAACAUAGCACAGCCUGCAAUUCCUCAUUAUAUCAGUGGGAGCGACGUUACCGGGGCCAGUAAAUCUGCCAGAUGGCAACGGGGGGAUUAGGUGGGAAGGUGGGACCCGCAGGAGGGUGUUGUGUCUCCCCUCCCCAGCUCCCCCUCCGCCCCCACCUUCCUCGUUAAGGAAUGUUAAUCACCCCAGCUCCCAAAGUGCUCUGGGAGGUUUGCUUACAACAAAAUCUUUACAGGGCUUGGAGAGGGGUUUUCCUUCCUUCUUUCCCUUGCAUGCAAGGCUUGGGAGGGAUGGCAGCUCAAAGCUGCUGCCCUGUUGGCGUCUCUGGGGUCUCUCCACCCACAGGAGACUUGAGGUGAGGAUCCUCUCAGUGAUGUUACAGGUUCCUGGAGUGAUGGGGACCAAAAUUUGGACUGGUGACAGGCUGGGGUUCCUUGUUCGUUAACACCAGGUCCAUGUGGUGUUGCAUCACCGGCAGCAUAAGCACAGUUGGGGAUGAGAGGAGUGUGGGCUACAUCUCUCCACAUUUCUUUGACCCUGCUGCAUGCAUUUGCCCAUUGGUCUACCCAAGGACUUUCAAGAAACUCAGAGAUUUAAUUUGUCUGAGAUAAUUGCCCUUGGUUAGGUUAGUCCACAAGCAAGGAGCAGGCUCAGAGUUAUCUGCAGGGCAGGGAAAAGGAAACAACCCGACAGAUACAUGCCUCAGAAUCCCCUAAGCCUCGUUUGCUUAAGUAACCAGACCAGCGCUGCCAGGUUGGGGUCAGUCCCAGCUGGGUGUUGGCUGCCCUGUGCUUCGCAAGGCUUCUGACACAUCAAGGAAAAGCCUUUUCAACAAAUGCACCAACAAAGAGAGAAAAUAAAAGAUUAGAAAUCAACAGGCUGGCAGAGGACCCAGCUGGCUCCUUUAUCCCCGGGCUUGU
Anas platyrhynchos (mallard) is the source of this 3261-nucleotide long non-coding RNA. RefSeq lists it as uncharacterized. The record is from RefSeq and is a predicted model, not a curated record. NCBI's taxonomy places the organism in Eukaryota, Metazoa, Chordata, Aves, Anseriformes, Anatidae.